This 111-nucleotide small RNA is filed under the name Urechidicola croceus. RNAcentral describes it as "Lutibacter sp. LPB0138 Flavo-1 RNA". It matches the Rfam family "Flavo-1 RNA". Lineage: Bacteria; Pseudomonadati; Bacteroidota; Flavobacteriia; Flavobacteriales; Flavobacteriaceae. The record is from Rfam by way of RNAcentral.
UUUUAUUUCUGCGUUAGGGAUAGAAAUGGCAUCCUUUUUAUUUUUUUGAUUCCUGCCUUCGCAGGAAUGACAACUAGCAAUAAAAAGAUAUAAUGGAUAGCCCGCUCGAAC